This 2487-nucleotide long non-coding RNA is filed under the name Zea mays. RNAcentral describes it as "long non-coding RNA (ZMAY_LNC001132)". The record is from RNAcentral. Lineage: Eukaryota; Viridiplantae; Streptophyta; Magnoliopsida; Poales; Poaceae.
ACCAGGUGUGCUGGGACCAAGUCUCACACAUAUGAUGAAUCAUGGCACAGGAUCGAAUUUCACAUCUUUACUACAUAACAGGAGUUCUAUACAAAAUAAAUAAUUACAUUAUAAGGAGACAACGGUCCAGCAACCCAAAGUUGACUGGGAGACGACGGCCUAGAUCUCUCACGAACACAUGGCCACAUCCUUCAUGCGCCUCAUCCUGCGGUACCUGUUCUUGACCUGUGGGGGGGUGUGAGACAGCAAGAGUGAGCUCACAUACGUUCAUCACUCAACAAUUUGUGGGGAAUAAUGUGAGUGAACUCGCCAAAGGUGGGAGUUCAUGUGAAGUGUAAGGCUUACCAAAGAGGAUGGUUAGAGCUGAGCAUUGCUUUUAAAGUUGGUCAAAAUUUUAUUAGCAAUUACUAAGUAUAAGUAAAUACCAACCCAAUUAAGUAGUAGAACAAAAGUAACAACAUCACCUGCGAUGCAAUGCAUAUGACAAUUUGAAUUUAGUUCCAUAAAUUAAUCAUGUGAGGGUCCGAGCUGCUCAUGACCGUGAGCACGGCUAGUAUACCAGUUUUACACUCUGCAGAGGUUGCACAUCUUUACCCACAAGUCAUGUUACUCAUCUGCCAAGGGAUCGCGACUUCCCAUACACCUCUACCGAGGAGGCGAGGCAGGGUAACACUAUGAGGCCUUUACAAAGUUCCACUAGCUUCAGAAAACCCGCUACAGUUUAUAGAAAGCUCCAAUGCAGGGUUCUUGCCUGACCGCCAUCGCAGCAAAAUCAACCAAGGACCCCCCUACACUGACCACUCCCCUACUGCCCUUGCCCCUUUCGGGUAAGGUAGUCCUCCACUAGCUUUCCUGAUUAAUCAGCCAAGGGCGUCCAUAAACCCUUGUGGUAGCACUGUUUUCCUGGGUGGUCGCUCCAUGUUCCAAUUAACAUAAUGAUCUUAUCAUGAACAGUGAUAAUAAAUAGAUAAUAAAAGUGUGAUCAUGAAUAAUGUAUCUUCAUACCCAAAACCACAUAAAGCACUAGCAAGUACUACCCAAAAAGUUCAGUGGUAAACAAGGUAUAAAGAUAAUCAAACUAGGGUAACCUAUUGGGUCCCAUCAAAAUUAACCUAUGCAGAUCAUUAUGAUUAAUCAGAACAUGAGUAGGUAAAAAGAAGUGAUCAAGGGCACAACUUGCCUGGCACUUGAGAUUCCAAUUACCAGGGUGAUUCUUCAGAUCUUCAAAACCUCGCGCUAGUCGUAGCAAUACAAACAGACAUGGUAUAGACAAAAUUAACAUCACACCAAACAUAAGUACAAACUGAAUAAUAAUGAUCUACGCGUUGCUACGAGAUCGCGGGAACGAGAACCACUAAGAUCGGAGUUAUGGUUAAGGAGUUGUGAUUUAACCAUUAAACUAUGUUAUCACUUGGUUAGUAUAAAUCAUAUGAGAUAUUAUUCUAUAAAUAAUUAUCUCAACUUUAAUCUAAUUUAUAAAUUUACCAUAAAUUAUAUUUUGGUAGAUAAUGAUGAGCACAUUAACAAGACUAACCAACGUAGGUUAAAUAAAGGCCUAAUUAUAACAUAAUAAAACAUGGUAUGAUAAGUGUUGUUAUUGCAUAGUAAAUAUUUAUACGAUACUAACGCAACUUGAACGGAUUAAACCGGAGUUGAAACGGAGGAAUUAUGAAUUUCAAAAGAUUUUAUGUAUUUGAUAUGAUAUUAAUUAGGAGAUCAAUUUUAUUAUUGUUUUCAUGUCAAAACAGAGGCAAUAGGUGAUAAACAACAUUAUUACAAAAUUAUAGAAAUUGGAAUGGGUCAAUUUGGACUAAGUAUGCAUUUCCUAUAAAUUAAACAAGUUCUAGCAUUUAUUUUUACACUAAAAAUCCAUUUCUAAGUGAUUUUAUAGAUUUUUCCUCACUGUCUGGGCUGCGCGCACAAUUCACAAGAAGUCCAGGGACUGGAACAGAAAGAUACACAGACUCAGUGAAUCCAGGACUGGACCGCGGUUAUUUAGUAGAAACCAUAGGGGUUUAUUUGCAAUGUUGGUGGCCGAAGGGGUAUGUUGAAAUGGCGAUCGUCCGAUCAAUAACCGAGGGUGUAGAUUAGAUCAAAACGAUCAAGAAACCUCGGCCGCACGAUCCAGACGGACGCCCCAGAUUUAAACACAGCCGGAUUCGCCGUUGGCCCUCGGAUCAAAAUCAUACGGCUGCUAUCAACCGAGCGAAGGGGUAUGAAGUCUUCUAAUCCUAGCCGUUGAAUACCAGAUCGACGAUCAGGGCGCCCCCCUACGCUUUCCUCUCUCCCUGCUCACUCCGGCCGGUGGUGAACCCAAAUUUUGCGGCGGCGCCAUUGACUGGGUUACGCAAACUGGCUAACUCGCGCACAACCCCGAAUACCGAACGGUCCUACACGAAGUAUAGCGUAUGGCAAAUCUAAUGGCGGUUUGUUUACCUGAUGGGGUGGUGGCAGAUUGGCUAACCAUGGCGGGAGGCGGACCCGCGG